UGACUGUGUGAUUUACACCGGCGAUCACGAUGCCUCCCCUCAUUCCCUGACAGCUCACGCCACUGAUCGCUUUGGUGUCAACUUGCUUUACCCACCUAUGGUGGUGCAUCUGUAUAAAAGGAAAUGGGUGGAAGAAACUAGUUAUCCUCGCUUCACCAUGAUUGGUCAGAGCUUGGGUUCGAUUUAUCUUUCCUGGGAAGCUUUAUGCAAGUUUACUCCUUUGUAUUAUUUUGAUACUAGUGGUUACGCUUUCACUUAUCCUCUUGCUCGGAUUUUUGGUUGCAAAGUUAUUUGUUACACCCAUUAUCCUACUCUCAGUUUAGAUAUGAUUUCUCGUGUUCGCAAUCGGAAUUCCACGUACAACAAUGAUGCUUCAAUUGCCAGGAGUGGUUGGCUAUCACGGUGCAAAAUCAUCUAUUAUACAUUCUUUAGUUGGAUGUAUGGGUUUGCGGGCUCUUGUGCACAUCUUGCAAUGGUGAACUCCUCAUGGACACAAGCCCAUAUUGAAAAGCUUUGGAGAAUUCCAAAGCGUAUCAACCGAGUCUAUCCUCCUUGUGAUACAUCAGGGCUUCAGGCUCUUCCUUUGGAAAGGUCAGCAUCAACUCCAAUAUUUAUAUCUGUUGCUCAAUUCCGUCCUGAGAAGGCACAUCCUCUCCAACUUGAGGCUUUUUCAGUAGCCAUUAGAAAGCUUGAUCCUGACUUGCCAAGACCUAAGCUCCAUUUUGUGGGUAGUUGUCGAAACAAGUCUGAUGAAGAAAGACUACAGAAGUUGAAGGACAAAGCAGUUGAACUGAAGGUUGAUGGGGAUGUACAAUUCUAUAAAAAUGUGAUGUACAGGGACUUGAUGAGUCUUUUGGGAGGUGCCACUGUCGGAGUGCAUUCCAUGACAGACGAACACUUUGGAAUUAGUGUUGUAGAGUAUAUGGCUGCAGGCGCCAUACCAAUUGCUCAUAAUUCUGCUGGCCCAAAGAUGGAUAUUGUUUUGGAAGAAGAUGGCCAGCAAACUGGAUUUCUUGCCCAGAAUGUGGAAGAGUAUGCAGAUGCCAUCCUGAGAGUUUUAAGAAUGCCAGAAACUGAGAGACUCAAGAUGGCUGCAGCUGCAAGGAAACGGGCGAGCAGGUUUUCUGAACAAAGAUUUUAUGAGGAUUUUAAAGCUGCAGUUCGACCAAUGCUAGACCAUUCUAGAUGAUGGACUAGCAACUGAAACUAAUGUAACAUAUUUGUAACUGUAGAACAGAGGAGUUUUAGUUUUUACUUGUUUUUGCCUGGCUGUUCCCUUUUCUGCCAUUUGACCAAGUUAUUUGAGGUGGCGGCUCAAUUCCUUUUCUUUGGUCUGUAUUUUUUUUUUUUUUAAUUUCAUAUGUAGUUGAAGAAAUUCUAUCUGUAAACAAUUUUGGCGACAAUUUCACCCAAGAUUGAAAAUUUUCUGUUAAAAUUUUAUGGUGCUACUGAGGC
Molecule: unclassified non-coding RNA, 1455 nt
Filed under: Hevea brasiliensis (rubber tree)
Lineage: Eukaryota; Viridiplantae; Streptophyta; Magnoliopsida; Malpighiales; Euphorbiaceae
Source: RNAcentral